AAUGGCCGCGGUACUUUGACCGUGCUAAGGUAGCAUAAUCAAUUGACUUUUGAAUGAAGUCUGGAAUGAAGGGGGACACGGGAAUUAGCUGUCUAAUGCUUUUAAUUUGAAUUUACUAACUAAGUGAAAAGGCUUAGGAAAGAUAAAAGACGAGAAGACCCUAAGAGUUUAAAUAAUUUUGUUGGGGCGACAUAGGGUCAAAUAACACCCUAAACUAUUAAGACGGAUUUUUCAUGAUUAGAAAAACUACCUUAGGGAUAACAGCAUAAUCUUUUUGAGUUUGUGACCUCGAUGUUGGACUAGGAAGCUUUUAGGCUAGCUGCUUAAUUUGGGGAUUCUGUUCGAAUUUUUACUCCU
RNAcentral lists this ribosomal RNA (357 nucleotides) under Vellicolla muscaria. Its description in RNAcentral is "Limulatys muscarius partial 16S large subunit ribosomal RNA". It matches the Rfam family "Archaeal large subunit ribosomal RNA", at positions 2003 to 2665 of the family's 2987-position model. The record is from RNAcentral. Lineage: Eukaryota; Metazoa; Mollusca; Gastropoda; Cephalaspidea; Haminoeidae.